This 477-nucleotide ribosomal RNA is filed under the name uncultured bacterium. Its description in RNAcentral is "partial 16S ribosomal RNA". It matches the Rfam family "Bacterial small subunit ribosomal RNA", at positions 28 to 523 of the family's 1533-position model. The record is from RNAcentral.
GACGAACGCUGGCGGCGUGCUUAACACAUGCAAGUCGAACGGUAAGGCCCUUCGGGGUACACGAGUGGCGAACGGGUGAGUAACACGUGGGUGAUCUGCCCUGCACUUCGGGAUAAGCCUGGGAAACUGGGUCUAAUACCGGAUAGGACCACUGCCUGCAUGGGUGGUGGUGGAAAGCUUUUGCGGUGUGGGAUGGGCCCGCGGCCUAUAAGCUUGUUGGUGGGGGGAGGGCCAACCAAGGCGACGACGGGUAGCCGGCCGGGGAGGGUGACCGGCCACACUGGAACUGAGAUACGGCCCAGACUCCUACGGGAGGCAGCAGUGGGAAUAUUGCACAAUGGGCGCAAGCCUGAUGCAGCGACGCCGCGUGAGGGAUGACGGCCUUCGGGUUGUAAACCUCUUUCAGCACCGACGAAGCGCAAGUGACGGUAGGUGCAGAAGAAGGACCGGCCAACUACGUGCCAGCAGCCGCCGUAA